AUGACCGUAACCAUCAGCAGGGGAACAGGGACCGACGCCGGACUGUACUCGUGUGCGGCGGCACGAUCCCCCACAGAUCCACCAAUGUUGCAACGAGAGAUUGUAGGUGCGUGGACAACAGAUCCAUCGGAGGCCGUGAUGUUCACCACACUCGCUGGGGCAGCGCCGGUCGGCCGUCCUCCGGACCCCUCAGGAGACCCCCCUGGACAAAGAGCAGAGGAGAAUCGAAUCCCUGUUCGUCCACACGCCAGGGGAAAAGAAAUCAAGUAUGGAACUUUCUGGAUUCGUGCACAGUCCUCUGUUCUUCAUGUCCUCUCCGUCCUGCUUCAGUCCCCCUGUCACGCUGAGACACAGGAGAGGAGCGGGUCCAAUAAAUCCCCACGCCAAGCUACCACCUCCUAUUUACAUUCAGGCCCCGUCCUGACUCUACGACCCUGAAACGUGACGUGCGACGUGGGUAAAGUAACCGGACGCGGCCGUACCGGGCGGGAGGCGGGCGAGUAGAUCUGCGGCGGCCUGCCGGAGCCCCAUCGCCUGCAGGAGGGUCACCGCGACGCCUCCGGCCUCUGCGGCGGUGUAAUGCUCCACCAUCAUUUCGGCCGUGUCGCAGCGGUCCGCCGCCUCCAGCUUCCCCCACGGGAUGGCGCCGCGGUCACGCAGGUGCGUCUUGAACCUCCUGAAGUCCGCGGAGCCGAGGUCGUCGAAGGUCCUCAGCAGUUGGAUCGCAGAGGUCAUCGUGCGUCCGGGGACUUAAAAAGCGCCAGAGUCCUGCUGACAGGUCAGUGCUCGUAUUACCGUCCAGUCAAAAAACCUCAAACUUUAUUUUUCACUUUGAAGAAGCGACUGACCUUCAAUCAGCCGCGGCUGGAAAUGGAACGAAUUAAAAGCGUCUGACCUGAUUUUUGGCUUACUGUACGGAGCCGUAAUCGGAAGGUUGCCGGUUCGAAUCCCCACCGAGUACAGCACCGUCCCCACACACUGCUCCCCGGCCACCGGCUGCUCACCGAGGGUGAUGGGUUCAAAUUAGCAGGAAGAUCUCCCCACUCACCCCGUUACCGAACAGUGUUAUUUAAAUAAUAUUUAUUUAAAUAAUAGAUGUUGGUUGUUGCUGUGUGUUCUUUUUUUUUUCUACCUCUCCCCCCUCCCUCCUCUAUAUUUUGGCUCUCUCCCUUGUUCCCGUCCCCCGGUCAUAAUUGAAACGAGGCAAGCAUGACAAAUAAUGCAUCUAAUGCGUUUUCGAAGUAUCAGAGGCCGUUUCCUCCCGCACCUUCUGGCACUUUCCAUCAUUCCUGCUUCUGCCGAGACGGAGGGGGUGCCAGCGUACGAAAGGAUUAAAAACGGCCGGAUUGUUCCUUUAAAAGUGAAAUGUCACUUUUAAUCACGUGAAAGUGAAGUGAUUGUCAUUGUGAGACACUGCAGCACAGCAUGUAUGUGGUGACACAACGAAAUGUGUCCUCUGCAUUUAAUCAU
This is a long non-coding RNA of Denticeps clupeoides (denticle herring), 1470 nucleotides long. The record is from Ensembl. NCBI's taxonomy places the organism in Eukaryota, Metazoa, Chordata, Actinopteri, Clupeiformes, Denticipitidae.